Molecule: ribosomal RNA, 460 nt
Filed under: uncultured bacterium
Lineage: Bacteria
Description: partial 16S ribosomal RNA
Rfam family: Bacterial small subunit ribosomal RNA
Source: RNAcentral
CCUACGGGUGGCAGCAGUGAGGAAUAUUGGUCAAUUGACGAGAGUCUGAACCAGCCAAGUAGCGUGAAGGAUGACUGCCCUAUGGGUUGUAAACUUCUUUUAUAUGGGAAUAAAAUGUUCCACGUGUGGGAUUUUGUAUGUACCAUAUGAAUAAGGAUCGGCUAACUCCGUGCCAGCAGCCGCGGUAAUACGGAGGAUCCGAGCGUUAUCCGGAUUUAUUGGGUUUAAAGGGAGCGUAGGUGGAUUGUUAAGUCAGUUGUGAAAGUUUGCGGCUAAACCGUAAAAUUGCAGUUGAAACUGGCAGUCUUGAGUACAGUAGAGGUGGGCGGAAGUCGUGGUGUAGCGGUGAAAUGCUUAGAUAUCACGAAGAACUCCGAUUGCGAAGGCAGUUCACUGGACUGCAUCUGACACUGAGGCUCGAAAGUGUGGGUAUCAAACAGGAUUAGAUACCCGGGUAGUC